Molecule: ribosomal RNA, 133 nt
Filed under: uncultured bacterium
Lineage: Bacteria
Description: partial 16S ribosomal RNA
Rfam family: Bacterial small subunit ribosomal RNA
Source: RNAcentral
GGGGGAUAUUGGACAAUGGGGGGAACCCUGAUCCAGCGACGCCGCGCGAGUGAAGAAGUAUCUCGGUAUGUAAAGCUCUAUCAGCAGGGAAGAAGAAAUGACGGUACCUGAGUAAGAAGCCCCGGCUAACUAC